Molecule: ribosomal RNA, 492 nt
Filed under: uncultured bacterium
Lineage: Bacteria
Description: partial 16S ribosomal RNA
Rfam family: Bacterial small subunit ribosomal RNA
Source: RNAcentral
AGUGAACGCUGGCGGUAGGCCUAACACAUGCAAGUCGAACGGCAGCACAGUAAGAGCUUGCUCUUACGGGUGGCGAGUGGCGGACGGGUGAGGAAUACAUCGGAAUCUACUUUUUCGUGGGGGAUAACGUAGGGAAACUUACGCUAAUACCGCAUACGACCUACGGGUGAAAGCAGGGGAUCUUCGGACCUUGCGCGAUUGAAUGAGCCGAUGUCGGAUUAGCUAGUUGGCGGGGUAAAGGCCCACCAAGGCGACGAUCCGUAGCUGGUCUGAGAGGAUGAUCAGCCACACUGGAACUGAGACACGGUCCAGACUCCUACAGGAGGCAGCAGUGGGGAAUAUUGGACAAUGGGCGCAAGCCUGAUCCAGCCAUACCGCGUGGGUGGAGAAGACCUUCGGGUUGUAAAGCCCUUUUGUUGGGAAAGAAAAGCAGCAGGUUAAUACCCCGCUGUUCUGACGGUACCCAAAGAAUAAGCACCGGCUAACUUCGUG